Transfer RNA from Mogibacterium sp. CM50, 72 nucleotides. It matches the Rfam family "tRNA". From Rfam's summary of the family: Transfer RNA (tRNA) molecules are approximately 80 nucleotides in length. NCBI's taxonomy places the organism in Bacteria, Bacillati, Bacillota, Clostridia, Peptostreptococcales, Anaerovoracaceae. The record is from Rfam.
UGGGGUAUCGCCAAGCGGUAAGGCAACGGACUCUGACUCCGUCAUUCACAGGUUCGAAUCCUGUUACCCCAG